RNAcentral lists this ribosomal RNA (253 nucleotides) under uncultured bacterium. RNAcentral describes it as "partial 16S ribosomal RNA". It matches the Rfam family "Archaeal small subunit ribosomal RNA", at positions 474 to 727 of the family's 1478-position model. The record is from RNAcentral.
UACCAGCACCCCGAGUGGUCGGGACGAUUAUUGGGCCUAAAGCAUCCGUAGCCGGUUUUACAAGUCCUCCGUUAAAUCCAGCUGCUUAACAGAUGGGCUGCGGAGGAUACUAUAAGACUAGGAGGCAGGAGGGGCAAGCGGUACUCAGUGGGUAGGGGUAAAAUCCGUUGAUCCAUUGAAGACCACCAGUGGCGAAGGCGGCUUGCCAAUACGCGCUCGACGGUGAGGGAUGAAAGCUGGGGGAGCAAACCGG